Molecule: ribosomal RNA, 484 nt
Filed under: uncultured bacterium
Lineage: Bacteria
Description: partial 16S ribosomal RNA
Rfam family: Bacterial small subunit ribosomal RNA
Source: RNAcentral
AUUGAACGCUGGCGGCAGGCCUAACACAUGCAAGUCGAGCGGAUGAAGGGAGCUUGCUCCUGGAUUCAGCGGCGGACGGGUGAGUAAUGCCUAGGAAUCUGCCUGGUAGUGGGGGAUAACGUCCGGAAACGGGCGCUAAUACCGCAUACGUCCUGAGGGAGAAAGUGGGGGAUCUUCGGACCUCACGCUAUCAGAUGAGCCUAGGUCGGAUUAGCUAGUUGGUGGGGUAAAGGCCUACCAAGGCGACGAUCCGUAACUGGUCUGAGAGGAUGAUCAGUCACACUGGAACUGAGACACGGUCCAGACUCCUACGGGAGGCAGCAGUAGGGAAUAUUGGACAAUGGGCGAAAGCCUGAUCCAGCCAUGCCGCGUGUGUGAAGAAGGUCUUCGGAUUGUAAAGCACUGUAAGUAGGGAGGAAGGGCAGUAAGAUAAUACCUUGCUGUUUUGACGUUACCAACAGAAAAAGCACCGGCUAACUUCGUG